GGGGNNCAUAGCAAUAUGUUUCUAGUGGCGAACGGGUGANNNACGCGUAGACAACCAACCUUGUAAUGGGGGACAACACUUCGAAAGGAGUGCUAAUACCGCAUAAUCUCCAGGUUUCGCAUGGGAUUUGGAGGAAAGGAGCUGUAAGGCUCCGUUAUAAGACGGGUCUGCGUCUGAUUAGCUAGUUGGAGGGGUAACGGCCCACCAAGGCGACGAUCAGUAGCCGGUCUGAGAGGAUGAACGGCCACACUGGGACUGAGACACGGCCCAGACUCCUACGGGAGGCAGCAGUGGGGAAUCUUCCGCAAUGGACGAAAGUCUGACGGAGCGACGCCGCGUGAGUGAUGAAGGCCCUUGGGUCGUAAAGCUCUGUCAUUGGGGACGAACGAGCACGUCAGGAAAUGGGCGUGAAGUGACGGUACCCAAGAAGGAAGCCACGGCUAACUACGUGCCAGCAGCCGCGGUAAUACGUAGGUGGCAAGCGUUGUCCGGAAUUAUUGGGCGUAAAGCGCGCGCAGGUGGGAUCUUAAGUCCAUUUUGAAAGUUCGGAGCUUAACUCCGUGAUGGGAUGGAAACUGGGAUUCUUGAGUACCGGAGAGGAAAGCGGAAUUCCCCGUGUAGCGGUGAAAUGCGUAGAUAUGGGGAGGAACACCAGUGGCGAAGGCGGCUUUCUGGACGGUGUCUGACACUGAGGCGCGAAAGCUAGGGGAGCGAACGGGAUUAGAUACCCCGGUAGUCCUAGCCGUAAACGAUGGGUACUAGGUGUG
Molecule: ribosomal RNA, 767 nt
Filed under: uncultured bacterium
Lineage: Bacteria
Description: bacterial SSU rRNA
Rfam family: Bacterial small subunit ribosomal RNA
Source: RNAcentral